UGAAGCAUGAGAUACCUGAAAGUGUUAAUUUGGUGACUCAUGAUAAGAGAAAUGCGAAGAAGGGCAAAAGUGUUCCUAUGAAGAAGAAAGGCAUUGUUGAUAAAGAUUCUUGCCGUUUCUGUAGAAAGAAGGGACACUGGAAGAAAUAUUGCCCGAAAUACAAGAAAUGGCUUGAGAAGAAAGGGUUUUCUAACUCUAAGGAAGCCGAUGGGAAGUGAACAAAAGGUUUAUUCUGGAAAUGGGAUGCCAUCAACUGUGGAAGGCGUGGGGACUUAUAGGCUCAUUUUAAAAGAUGGUUUUCAAUUAGAUUUAGAAAAACUUUUUAUGUUCCAUCGUAUUCUAGAAAUUUAAUUUCUCUUUCAAGACUAGCA
Long non-coding RNA from Lycium ferocissimum, 371 nucleotides. RefSeq lists it as uncharacterized. The record is from RefSeq and is a predicted model, not a curated record. Lineage: Eukaryota; Viridiplantae; Streptophyta; Magnoliopsida; Solanales; Solanaceae. The transcript has 2 exons.